RNAcentral lists this ribosomal RNA (420 nucleotides) under uncultured bacterium. RNAcentral describes it as "bacterial SSU rRNA". It matches the Rfam family "Bacterial small subunit ribosomal RNA", at positions 357 to 774 of the family's 1533-position model. The record is from RNAcentral.
AGGAAUAUUGGGCAAUGCCCGCAAGGGUGACCCAGCAACGCCGCGUGGAGGAUGAAUGUCGUAAGAUUGUAAACUCCUGUUAGAGGGGAAGAAUAGUACCGGUUGGACCGGUAUAUGACUGUACCCUCAGAGAAAGCCCCGGCUAACUACGUGCCAGCAGCCGCGGUAAUACGUAGGGGGCAAGCGUUGUCCGGAUUUACUGGGUGUAAAGGGCGCGCAGGCGGGAUAAAAAGUCAGUGGUGAAAUCCUACAGCUUAACUGUAGAACUGCCUUUGAUACUUUUAGUCUUGAGUUCGGGAGAGAGAGACGGAAUUCCAGGUGUAGUGGUGAAAUACGUAGAUAUCUGGAAGAACACCAGUUGCGAAGGCGGUCUCUUGGUCCGACACUGACGCUGAGGCGCGAAAGCGUGGGGAGCAAACA